This 253-nucleotide ribosomal RNA is filed under the name uncultured bacterium. RNAcentral's name for it is "partial 16S ribosomal RNA". It matches the Rfam family "Bacterial small subunit ribosomal RNA", at positions 524 to 776 of the family's 1533-position model. The record is from RNAcentral.
UACGAAGGGGGCUAGCGUUGUUCGGAAUUACUGGGCGUAAAGGGCACGUAGGCGGACCAUCAAGUUGGGGGUGAAAUCCCGGGGCUCAACCCCGGAACUGCCUCCAAGACUGCUGGUCUGGAGGUCGAGAGAGGCGAGUGGAAUUCCGAGUGUAGAGGUGAAAUUCGUAGAUAUUCGGAGGAACACCAGUGGCGAAGGCGGCUCGCUGGCUCGAUACUGACGCUGAGGUGCGAAAGCGUGGGGAACAAACAGG